AUUUACUUUACAAUCAAAUCUUUUCAAAAUGGCGACUUUGUAGUUUAACAGUGUAAAAAAAACUAAAUUUAUUCAAAUUUUGAUAGCAAAUACUUUAAAUUAUUUAGAUCAAGGUCAGCAUCUUUAAUCUUGAAUUUAAAAGUUCCAUUCUUAAAUUGUAAAGAUUGUUCAAUUUUCACCGUUUAUUUUGAUAUGAUUUACUUAUUAAGUAAACAAUAUAAAAAAAUAAAAAUUUUAUUCCUAAAAAUUUCAUAUAC
This 257-nucleotide long non-coding RNA is filed under the name Ananas comosus (pineapple). RNAcentral's name for it is "long non-coding RNA (ACOM_LNC001345)". Lineage: Eukaryota; Viridiplantae; Streptophyta; Magnoliopsida; Poales; Bromeliaceae. The record is from RNAcentral.